RNAcentral lists this ribosomal RNA (424 nucleotides) under Philodryas nattereri. Its description in RNAcentral is "LSU rRNA". It matches the Rfam family "Bacterial large subunit ribosomal RNA", at positions 1911 to 2550 of the family's 2925-position model. Lineage: Eukaryota; Metazoa; Chordata; Lepidosauria; Squamata; Dipsadidae. The record is from RNAcentral.
AGUGAAUAAUUAAACGGCCGCGGUACCCUAACCGUGCAAAGGUAGCAUAAUCAUUUGUCUAUUAAUUGUAGACCUGUAUGAAAGGCAAAAUGAGGGUUUAACUGUCUCUUAUAGUAAAUCAAUUAAACUGAUCUCCUAGUAAAAAAGCUAAGAUAUCCCCAUAAGACCAGAAGACCCUGUGAAGCUUAAACUAAACUAUUAAACCCUAUAAUAACUACUUUCGGUUGGGGCGACCUUGGAAAAAAAAAGAACUUCCAAACAUAGUGAUACCUACCUCACCACAUCAGGCCUACUAGCCUACAAACUAGACCCAGCACAGCUGAUUAAUGAACCAAGUUACUCCAGGGAUAACAGCGCCAUCUUCUUCAAGAGCCCAUAUCAAAAAGAAGGUUUACGACCUCGAUGUUGGAUCAGGACAUCCUAA